Molecule: ribosomal RNA, 497 nt
Filed under: uncultured bacterium
Lineage: Bacteria
Description: partial 16S ribosomal RNA
Rfam family: Bacterial small subunit ribosomal RNA
Source: RNAcentral
GAUGAACGCUGGCGGCGUGCCUAAUACAUGCAAGUCGAGCGAACAGAUGAGGAGCUUGCUCCUCUGAUGUUAGCGGCGGACGGGUGAGUAACACGUGGAUAACCUACCUAUAAGACUGGGAUAACUUCGGGAAACCGGAGCUAAUACCGGAUAAUAUAUUGAACCGCAUGGUUCAAUAGUGAAAGACGGUCUUGCUGUCACUUAUAGAUGGAUCCGCGCCGCAUUAGCUAGUUGGUAAGGUAACGGCUUACCAAGGCAACGAUGCGUAGCCGACCUGAGAGGGUGAUCGGCCACACUGGAACUGAGACACGGUCCAGACUCCUACGGGAGGCAGCAGUAGGGAAUCUUCCGCAAUGGGCGAAAGCCUGACGGAGCAACGCCGCGUGAGUGAUGAAGGUCUUCGGAUCGUAAAACUCUGUUAUUAGGGAAGAACAAAUGUGUAAGUAACUAUGCACGUCUUGACGGUACCUAAUCAGAAAGCCACGGCUAACUACGUG